UAGGGAAUUUUUCGCAAUGGACGCAAGUCUGACGGAGCAAUGCCGCGUGAAGGAUGAAGGUUUUCGGAUCGUAAACUUCUGUUGUAGGGGAAGAACACUAAGGGUAGGAAAUGGCCUUUAGCUGACGGUACCCUACCAGAAAGCCACGGCUAACUACGUGCCAGCAGCCGCGGUAAUACGUAGGUGGCGAGCGUUAUCCGGAAUUAUUGGGCGUAAAGCGUAUGUAGGCGGUUUAUUAAGUUUGAUGUGAAAGCUAGUGGCCUAACCACUAAACGGCAUUGAAUACUGGUAAACUAGAAUACUGGAGAGGUAAGUGGAAUUCCAUGUGUAGCGGUGGAAUGCGUAGAUAUAUGGAGGAACACCAAUGGCGAAGGCAGCUUACUGGACAGUGAUUGACGCU
RNAcentral lists this ribosomal RNA (400 nucleotides) under uncultured bacterium. Its description in RNAcentral is "bacterial SSU rRNA". It matches the Rfam family "Bacterial small subunit ribosomal RNA", at positions 355 to 747 of the family's 1533-position model. The record is from RNAcentral.